AGAGUUUGAUCCUGGCUCAGAGCGAACGCUGGCGGCAGGCUUAACACAUGCAAGUCGAGCGGGCGUAGCAAUACGUCAGCGGCAGACGGGUGAGUAACGCGUGGGAACGUACCUUUUGGUUCGGAACAACACAGGGAAACUUGUGCUAAUACCGGAUAAGCCCUUACGGGGAAAGAUUUAUCGCCGAAAGAUCGGCCCGCGUCUGAUUAGCUAGUUGGUGAGGUAAUGGCUCACCAAGGCGACGAUCAGUAGCUGGUCUGAGAGGAUGAUCAGCCACAUUGGGACUGAGACACGGCCCAAACUCCUACGGGAGGCAGCAGUGGGGAAUAUUGGACAAUGGGCGCAAGCCUGAUCCAGCCAUGCCGCGUGAGUGAUGAAGGCCCUAGGGUUGUAAAGCUCUUUUGUGCGGGAAGAUAAUGACGGUACCGCAAGAAUAAGCCCCGGCUAACUUCGUGCCAGCAGCCGCGGUAAUACGAAGGGGGCUAGCGUUGCUCGGAAUCACUGGGCGUAAAGGGUGCGUAGGCGGGUCUUUAAGUCAGGGGUGAAAUCCUGGAGCUCAACUCCAGAACUGCCUUUGAUACUGAAGAUCUUGAGUUCGGGAGAGGUGAGUGGAACUGCGAGUGUAGAGGUGAAAUUCGUAGAUAUUCGCAAGAACACCAGUGGCGAAGGCGGCUCACUGGCCCGAUACUGACGCUGAGGCACGAAAGCGUGGGGAGCAAACAGGAUUAGAUACCCCAGUAGUCC
Molecule: ribosomal RNA, 744 nt
Filed under: uncultured Bradyrhizobium sp.
Lineage: Bacteria; Pseudomonadati; Pseudomonadota; Alphaproteobacteria; Hyphomicrobiales; Nitrobacteraceae
Description: bacterial SSU rRNA
Rfam family: Bacterial small subunit ribosomal RNA
Source: RNAcentral